GAGACUCUGUGCGCGUGCAUAUCAAUAAGCGGAGGAAAAGAAACUAACUAGGAUUCCCUCAGUAACGGCGAGUGAAGCGGGAAGAGCUCAAAUUUGAAAUCUUCAAGGUUUUACCUUGACGAAUUGUAGUUUAAAGAAGUGUUUUCUGUUGGUGUUUUGGUAAAAGUUCUUUGGAAUAGGACAUCAUAGAGGGUGAGAAUCCCGUAUUUGGUCCAUUCCUCCUAACUUUGUGAUACACUUUCAACGAGUCGGAUUGUUUGGGAAUGCAGUCCAAAAUGGGUGGUAAAUUUCAUCUAAAGCUAAAUAUUGGCGAGAGACCGAUAGCGAACAAGUACCGUGAGGGAAGAUGAAAAGAACUUUGAAAAGAGAGUUAAACAGUACGUGAAAUUGUCAAAAGGGAAGCGUUUGACACCAGUGUUGUUUCUCGAAAAUCAAUUAAAAAUGGCAGGAUUUUGUGUUGUAUUGACUUUAUCAGCUUUCUGCACUUUUUUCUUGUCUUUUUUAAUGCACUUUUCGUUUAACAAGUCAACAUCAAUUUCUUUUGCUGUAAAAGGGUCAUUGGAAGGUGGCUUUCUUUUCGGAGAAAGUGUUUAUAGCCUUUUAUCUCUGCAGUCGGGGAGAUUGAGGUCUGCAGCGUAGAUCCUUCGGGGCUAGAUACAUUUAUGCUAAGUUAUAGCUUUUCAUAGACAACUUGUUGACUAUGUUUAGUCAUGUAGCUUACUCGUAAGUGCUAUUUUACCUACGCUUAGGAUGUUGAGUCGUAGAGCACGCAG
Molecule: ribosomal RNA, 773 nt
Filed under: uncultured Neocallimastigales
Lineage: Eukaryota; Fungi; Neocallimastigomycota; Neocallimastigomycetes; Neocallimastigales
Description: partial large subunit ribosomal RNA
Rfam family: Eukaryotic large subunit ribosomal RNA
Source: RNAcentral